AUUGCCCUCUACUUUGGCAAAAAACCUGCUUUGCAUUCCUGCCAGACGUGAAAAUGAGUUAAGACUCCACCUCUCUGCUUUUACUACUCUUAGCUCCUCCCUCCCUAUUCUAAUUACUACCCAACCCCGCAGCUGUCCAGCAGCUGUAUGGAGAGGAAAAGGAAAACUGGGGGAACUGGAGUCAGGUCGGGGGAGUUUUUCCCUGGAGUAGUAGGGGGAGAGCUGAGUGGGGUUCAUCUCAUUGAGCUAGGAAGCUUGAACAAGACUUUUCUUCCCUUGGAAACCGGAUACCGUUUGCCAUUCGCCAGAGCUUCCAGCCUUAGGAAGUCACAUUGGAGGUUUGGGAUUUUUCUUGUGCGCAGGGGGUGUCUGAAGAACAGAUGACAAAGAGGACUGACUCCUGAGGCCUGAUUCCCCAACAUUUCACCUGCUGAUGCAGCAAAUCUGACUCUAUGGCUUCUUAUUUACUCAUGAGAAUAUGUUUUAUCUUAUACUUGACUUCUUUGAUUUCCACAAAUGAUUCAGAAUCCCCUACUAUUUCCAAGGAGAAUGACACCCUGAUCUGUCAAGCAAUUCCGAGAAGUCAGAGGAGGAUAACUUGGUCCAAUGAUCUGCCAGAGUUCACAACCAAUCCAGAUACCACAGGUCUACUCAACCUCAGUAUCUCUCAAUCUUGGGAUGAUAGUUUCAAUGAUAAUCCACCCUGCUGUAAAAUCAUAGAAGAAGAGGACUCCCAAGAACUUUGUGCAGAAACUUGCUAUCACACUAGUACCUUUGCAAAACCAAUCUCAGGUAUUCCAGAGACACUCCAAAGAAAGAUUGUAUUGUGGCCUCUAUUAAUCAUCUCAAUUCUAAUUGCAAUUCUGUUUCUUGGCCUCAUAUGGCAUAAAAAAAUGAAAAAUAAAUCCAGUUGUUUUUUCAGAAAUGGACAUUAAUGACCUUAUCUUGGAAGAAGAAAUGAAAUAAGUCAUAAAGGAGCUCCUUAAGAACAAAAACAAACCACGGAACCUAGGAUUUACAAGUGAAUUUUGUAAAAAAAUUAAACAAUUAAUUUUUAGGGAGCAUGGAAUAAUUUACUUGUCAGAUAUAAGGAUGAGAAGAAUUUAUGAUCCAAGAAGACUUACAUGAAUAAAAGGUCUAAUUUCUCAAAUACA
Molecule: long non-coding RNA, 1154 nt
Filed under: Monodelphis domestica (gray short-tailed opossum)
Lineage: Eukaryota; Metazoa; Chordata; Mammalia; Didelphimorphia; Didelphidae
Description: lncRNA (ENSMODG00000033080.2)
Source: RNAcentral